ACAAAUAUAAACCAAUUCAAUUUAUUAACAUUUAAAUUUCAAUCAAUCAUUUCAUUUUAACCUUCAUAAUAUUCAAAAGAUCACAAAUUCAAUAUUCAAUUUCAACAUAUACAAUACAAACUCAUAAUUAAAAAUAACAUUAAAUAUCAACAUUCACAACUUAAACUAAAAUAAUUACAAAAUAAUAUUUAAACAUAAAGCCCUUCUUCUUCCCCUAAUUCUCUCACUUUUGGGAAACCUCAAACUCCCUUUAUCACAUCGAUGCUUCUCAUCUACAUUCACAUAACACAAUAAAAAAACAAAUCAAGUUCUUUAAUUUUCACUUCAACAACCAAAUCAUCAUCACCCCAUCAAAAAAACAACAUAAAUAAAUAAGAAAAAUUAAUGUAAAAUAAAAAAAUAUAAAAAAUAUAUAAAUAUAUGUAUGAAUGUAUCUAAAUAGCCUAACUUGUCACAACUGUUGUUGUUAGUGACUAUUGUCGGUCGAAAAUUUUCACGAUCAAAGUCUACCAUUAGAAACACUAAGUCAAGAGAAUUAACAUACAAAAAAAUGGUCAUAUUUAACGGUUGAAUUUUAGUAGAUCUGAUUUUUAAUUUUCAACUAAACUUAAAAAUGCACUAUCGACGCCUGCCUUCUCUCUCUGUGUAAUAUCCCCAAUUAAGUAAAAGAAAUGAAAUUAAUUAAAUUAGUUAAUUUGUUUAAAAUUUGAGGCGGUGCGUGUGUGCUUGGCGGCGAAGUAAAGCAAAGUGAUUUUUCUCAAAAAAAAAAAUAAAAAUAAACAGAGUGAGAGUUGGAGAGGGAGAGCUCGGGAGAGAACUUGAGAGCGAGCAGAGAGAGUGAGAUGAGAGAUAGAGUAAGGGAGAGAGGCUGAGAGAAAGAGAGAGAGAGAGAGAGAGAGCGAGCUCAAGAGCUCGAAGGCCAAUCGGUCAUGGCAGUCGCUGCCAUGGCCGACGAGGAGCAUCGGUGGCUUGAAGAAGCCGCGGCCACGGAGCAACCAGCAGUGGUGGCGACGGCGCGGAGCAGCGACACACGGCAGCAGAGUGGCCGAGGGUGGCAGCGCCGGUAGCGAGGGUGGCCGGUGGUGUCGCUGGCAGGCUGAGGCGAUGGCUGGAGGAGCUCGGCCGCGACGGUGCUGGUUCGGCCGCUGGGAGAAGAAGGGAAGGAGAAGAAGAAGAAGAAGGAGAAGAAGAAAGGAAGAAGAAGAGGAAAAGAAAGAAGAAGAAGAAUGGAGUUGCAGGCGCGGGAGAUGCAGGGAGGAAGAAGAAGAAGAAGAAAAGGAGAAGAAGAAAAAAAGAAAGGGAAGAAAAGAAAAAAUAGGAAAAAUAAUAAGAUUUUUCGGCAAAGGAAUUGAUCAGGAAAUGAUUUAAUUUGCCUCGGGAGCUUGAGAGAGGUCGGAAUCAGCUAGUUUCAGACAAGUUCUCAACCCUCAUCUCCUGAUCUUUAAUUCCCCUAACAUUUUAUUUUGCACCGGGUGCACAAGAAAAGCAAGGAAUGGCUGUGUAAAGGCAAGUUUCUAACCCUCUCCUCGUGUUCUUUAAUUCUCGCGAGAGACUUCGUAGUUUCUCGUAUUUUAUCAUCUCCCUUACUUUAAUUCGGCACUUGGCCUUAUUUGUUGAAUUAUUAUUCAUUGGGUUUAAAUUAAAUUAAAUCCAGGAUUUCUAGAAUUUUAUUUGUUGUGAGUUUACGGGGGUUUGUAUCGCCCCCAUUCCCUUGGGAAUGAUGCUGAACCAGUUUGGGAACUAGGUUCCUAGACGUGCGGGUUUAUGUACGAUUUUAUUGGGUUUAUUUACAGUUUUUCUCGAAUUUAUUUAUGAUACGGUUAGAGUUAUCGAGCAGUAGGGCAGGGGUCAGUUGUUGGUGACAUUGGGGUGGACUAUUGUACGGCUCUGAAGUGGACCGUCGGGUAGACACUCCUAAUCACUGACCGUUGACCGGUGCCGGGCACUGCUGACUAGCUCUGCCGGUAUGUGAUUUACUGCACGUUUAGAUUUAUUAUAUUGCUAUCCAUGAUUUGAUAUGCACAUGGGUACGGGUUGCAUAUUGGGAUAUUCAUUUAUUAAGUAUGCUUGGACACGGAUAUGCUAGCUUGGUUAGGUUGUAUCUAGCACGGGCAUAUGCAUCGCGUGUGGUUUACUAUGUGGGCAGAGCAUGGCCUGAUGCCUGGAUGUAUGGGCGCCGGUGUAUCACGUUGAUGCUCAUUACGCCAUUGCAUUUUAUGUGCACUGCAUGGAUACUGGUAGUAUUUAAUUCUCGGGCAGGAGUACCGUUCCGAGGGAGCCUAUGGCUCGGCUGUCAGGAGUACCGACAGGGACAGGUGUCGGGAGUACCGACAUGGACGGGUGACGGGAGUACCGACCCGGGGGACAGCGUGCACAGGUUUGCUGGAGGUAUUUGUUACCGUCCAGGGCAGCGACAGGUUGGUAUGGGACUUGGGUGCCAUGUGUCCUAUGUGGGCCUCAAGGACCGGUAUGUGCUUUUAUUAUGCUAUGCUAUUGUGUUGUAGCGUCUCAUGGCUUGUGUGUGCCUGGGGGUUUAUUCUGGGGAGAGAUUUCUGGUUUUGUGUAGCCUUCAGCCUUUCUUUUCUUAUGCUUGCUGAGUCUCUCGACUCACCUUGUUUUUCCAUCA
Diospyros lotus (date-plum) is the source of this 2626-nucleotide long non-coding RNA. RefSeq lists it as uncharacterized. The transcript is spliced from 3 exons. NCBI's taxonomy places the organism in Eukaryota, Viridiplantae, Streptophyta, Magnoliopsida, Ericales, Ebenaceae. The record is from RefSeq and is a predicted model, not a curated record.